This 253-nucleotide ribosomal RNA is filed under the name uncultured bacterium. RNAcentral describes it as "partial 16S ribosomal RNA". It matches the Rfam family "Bacterial small subunit ribosomal RNA", at positions 524 to 776 of the family's 1533-position model. The record is from RNAcentral.
UACAGAGGGGGCAAGCGUUAUUCGGAAUUAUUGGGCGUAAAGGGCGCGUAGGCGGGUCUUUAAGUCGGUGGUGAAAUCCUGGAGCUCAACUCCAGAACUGCCUUCGAUACUGGGAAGCUCGAGUCCGGGAGAGGUGAGUGGAACUGCGAGUGUAGAGGUGAAAUUCGUAGAUAUUCGCAAGAACACCAGUGGCGAAGGCGGCUCACUGGCCCGGUACUGACGCUGAGGUGCGAAAGCGUGGGGAGCAAACAGG